UUACUCCUUGUGCGGAUGUGAUAUCUCUUUUCAGUCUCAGUCGACGGUGGACUUGGCGACGGCAGCUCAUAGAUGGAAGUACUCCGCCGGCCAACACUUCCACUCGUCGCCGUCGGGCCACUCCCAUCCACCAGGUGCCUAGCUGCUGGCCGAGCCAGACAAAUGGAGCUGGAAGAUGAAGCCGAUAUUUGGGCGCCCAUUUUGGCUCAUCCUCUUGACCAGUCACCAUCUUCUGAUGUUAUUUUUCUUCCGAGCCAGGCGACACUCUGCAACGUGUCGUCCCAGUAAGUCAACAACAAUAUAUGAUUCUAAUAUGUUUUUUGUAAAAGGGAAGUUAAACCUCUGGUCUCUGCAUAUAAGAUUCUAAUAUGAAUUAUAUAAUAAUAUAUGUGAUCCUAAAGAAGACUGAAUGCGGGUA
This is a long non-coding RNA of Aegilops tauschii subsp. strangulata, 418 nucleotides long. RefSeq lists it as uncharacterized. Lineage: Eukaryota; Viridiplantae; Streptophyta; Magnoliopsida; Poales; Poaceae. The record is from RefSeq and is a predicted model, not a curated record.